UGCAAUCUAUGACGUAAUUGCCAUUUAGUGGUUCUGAUUUUAUAUUGAUUGAUUUGUCAGAAAUUCACCAUCUUUCGCCUGAGAUUGCA
Molecule: small nucleolar RNA, 89 nt
Organism: Hevea brasiliensis (rubber tree)
Lineage: Eukaryota; Viridiplantae; Streptophyta; Magnoliopsida; Malpighiales; Euphorbiaceae
Source: RefSeq, a predicted model, not a curated record